AUUGAACGCUGGCGGCAUGCCUUACACAUGCAAGUCGAACGGCAGCACGGGAGCAAUCCUGGUGGCGAGUGGCGAACGGGUGAGUAAUAUAUCGGAACGUGCCCAGUCGUGGGGGAUAACGUAGCGAAAGCUACGCUAAUACCGCAUACGAUCUAUGGAUGAAAGCGGGGGAUCGCAAGACCUCGCGCGAUUGGAGCGGCCGAUAUCAGAUUAGGUAGUUGGUGAGGUAAAGGCUCACCAAGCCGACGAUCUGUAGCUGGUCUGAGAGGACGACCAGCCACACUGGGACUGAGACACGGCCCAGACUCCUACGGGAGGCAGCAGUGGGGAAUUUUGGACAAUGGGCGGCAAGCCUGAUCCAGCAAUGCCGCGUGCAGGAUGAAGGCCUU
Molecule: ribosomal RNA, 389 nt
Filed under: uncultured bacterium
Lineage: Bacteria
Description: bacterial SSU rRNA
Rfam family: Bacterial small subunit ribosomal RNA
Source: RNAcentral